This 275-nucleotide ribosomal RNA is filed under the name uncultured bacterium. RNAcentral's name for it is "partial 16S ribosomal RNA". It matches the Rfam family "Bacterial small subunit ribosomal RNA", at positions 523 to 796 of the family's 1533-position model. The record is from RNAcentral.
AUACGUAGGCGCCAAACGUUGUCCGGAUUUAUUGGGCGUAAAGGGCUCGUAGGCGGUUCAACAAGUCGGUCGCGAAAACCCGGGGCUCAACCCCGGGACGCCGGUCGAAACUGUUGUGACUAGGGUCCGGUAGAGGUGAGUGGAAUUCUCGGUGUAGCGGUGGAAUGCGCAGAUAUCGAGAGGAACACCAGUAGCGAAGGCGGCUCACUGGGCCGGUACCGACGCUGAGGAGCGAAAGCAUGGGGAGCAAACAGGAUUAGAAACCCCGGUAGUCC